GGGCCCGUAGCUCAGUGGUUAGAGCAGUCGACUCAUAAUCGAUUGGUCGCAGGUUCGAAUCCUGCCGGGCCCA
Molecule: transfer RNA, 73 nt
Filed under: Fodinibius halophilus
Lineage: Bacteria; Pseudomonadati; Balneolota; Balneolia; Balneolales; Balneolaceae
Also listed under: 1 other name
Rfam family: tRNA
About the family: Transfer RNA (tRNA) molecules are approximately 80 nucleotides in length. Their secondary structure includes four short double-helical elements and three loops (D, anti-codon, and T loops).
Source: Rfam by way of RNAcentral